UUAUAAAGGAAGUUAACACUUAAAAAUUUUAUUGUGCCACAUGUAUUGGAACUGUUAGGCCACAACCUGAAGGAGUGAUUGAGCAGCUGGUGAAGAGGCGUGGCCAGUCCCAGGAGCACAAGUGGAAGCGGUUAACCUUUGUGACCCUAACCUCAUUUAAAGGCUGGAUGCCACAAGGGAAGUGUCUCAACUUAGAGAUGACCUCCUUUGGAGUGUUUGCUAAGCCCUGAUCCUUAAAAAGGGACUCUAUUGUAAUACUAGAAGCAUCCCCAGACCAUUUUGCUGACUUCUGAACUCAUGGUGGAAAGAGAGGAAGAAGUCUAGAGUCCUCCAAGUUGUAGUGGUAUCUGUGUCAGUAUAAGGAAGAAAAAAAUGCUGCCUUUGGUUAUCUUCACUUGUCAUGCCAAGUUUCUGAAAACCAUGCAAAUCAUGGUCCAUGCCUUUUAUUUGUCCUGGAAGACACCCAGCAUGCUUUUGGGAACUGUAAAAAUAGUACUUUUAAAUGUGACACCUAACAUGGAUUAACAUCAGCAGCAGAUCCAUCAUCUGUAUCAUCCAAAGUCUGUUUGAUUUCAUA
RNAcentral lists this long non-coding RNA (577 nucleotides) under Phasianus colchicus (ring-necked pheasant). RNAcentral describes it as "lncRNA (ENSPCLG00000014069.1)". The record is from RNAcentral. Lineage: Eukaryota; Metazoa; Chordata; Aves; Galliformes; Phasianidae.